Molecule: ribosomal RNA, 376 nt
Filed under: Pinnularia sp. NE-L30
Lineage: Eukaryota; Bacillariophyta; Bacillariophyceae; Sellaphorales; Pinnulariaceae
Description: bacterial SSU rRNA
Rfam family: Eukaryotic small subunit ribosomal RNA
Source: RNAcentral
AUUCCAGCUCCAAUAGCGUAUACUAAAGUUGUUGCAGUUAAAAAGCUCGUAGUUGAAUUUGUGUCAUUGUAUGAAUGUUGAUUCUUUCAACUGUUCAAUCAUUGUCAUAAUUGAGUGGACCUCACGGGGCAUUAGGUUGUUUUGUGGGAGAGUCUCAUCAUUUACUGUGAAAAAAUUAGAGUGUUCAAAGCAGGCUUAUGCCGAUGAAUAUAUUAGCAUGGAAUAAUGAAAUGUAGCUUGGGUACCAUUUUGUUGGCUUGUGUACCAAAGUAAUGGUUAAUAGGGAUAGUUGGGGGUAUUCGUAUUCCAUUGUCAGAGGUGAAAUUCUUGGAUUUUUGGAAGACGACCAACUGCGAAAGCAUUUACCAAGGAUGUU